This 43-nucleotide transfer RNA is filed under the name Tetranychus ludeni (bean spider mite). RNAcentral describes it as "tRNA-Ile". Lineage: Eukaryota; Metazoa; Arthropoda; Arachnida; Trombidiformes; Tetranychidae. The record is from RNAcentral.
AGUAAUGUUUAGUUAUUGAUAAUUAACUUAAAUAAAAUUACUA